This 827-nucleotide long non-coding RNA is filed under the name Marmota monax (woodchuck). The record is from RNAcentral. Lineage: Eukaryota; Metazoa; Chordata; Mammalia; Rodentia; Sciuridae.
CUUUUUUUUCAUACAUCAGUUUCAGUUUGGAUUCUGGCACUUGUAACUGAAGAUGUCUGAACUGCUAAAGGGUUGACCUUGGGUAGGAGGAGCAUGAUAUCCUGGCAAAAGAUUGCAGGAAACUCAUCCAGACUCUGCUCCCCACCAUCAGCUUCCUGGCCCAUGUUGGGCCAACUGGGGAAUAAAGUGGGCCUGCUGUUUACAUCUGUUACAUGGGCAACACCCCACUGGGGCACAGCCUCAAGGAAGAAGGAACUAUCACUCUGGCUCUCUCAUGUGUUCCUAUUCUGCAGCACAGUGGUUGGUCCUACACAGGCACUUCAUGAAUGUUUGGUGAACAAAUGGACAAAUGGAGGAAAAUUGGACAAUCACAGCACAUUGGGAGGCAUAGUGAGGUCUGUACACUUCCCAGCCUUACACUGAGUACCCUCAGUGAGGUUCUGUUUCAUCUUGGGCAAGCUACUAACCUGUGGAAUUGUAUACACCUAGCUUCUAACCUCUAGGCUCCAUUGUAACUCUUUAAGCUCACAGGGUCCUUUACUUUUUUCUGUACAGUGAGGAUAAUGGCCAAAUUUUGUAGGGUUUGCUUCAACAUAUAGGGAGUACAGGUGUGCAGAUGAGACAUUAGCCAUGUAUUGAUUACUAUAGAAGCCUGGUAAAGGGUACAUUGGAGUUGAUCAUAUUAUUCUCUCUACUUUUGGAGAUGUUUGAAAUUUUCCAUAGUAAGAUAUUUAAGAAAUGAGCCAGGCAUGGUGGACAUGGAUGUAAUCCCAGUGACUUGGGAGGCUGAGGCAGUAGGAUUGCAAGUUGUUAGAGGCCAGCCGCAG